RNAcentral lists this ribosomal RNA (492 nucleotides) under uncultured bacterium. Its description in RNAcentral is "partial 16S ribosomal RNA". It matches the Rfam family "Bacterial small subunit ribosomal RNA", at positions 28 to 507 of the family's 1533-position model. The record is from RNAcentral.
GAUGAACGCUAGCUACAGGCUUAACACAUGCAAGUCGAGGGGAAACGACAUCGAAAGCUUGCUUUUGAUGGGCGUCGACCGGCGCACGGGUGAGUAACGCGUAUCCAACCUGCCCAUCACUUGGGAAUAACCUUGCGAAAGUAAGACUAAUACCCAAUGACAUCCCACGAAGACAUCUGAAUGGGAUUAAAGAUUUAUCGGUGACGGAUGGGGAUGCGUCUGAUUAGCUUGUUGGCGGGGUAACGGCCCACCAAGGCAACGAUCAGUAGGGGUUCUGAGAGGAAGGUCCCCCACAUUGGAACUGAGACACGGUCCACACUCCUACGGGAGGCAGCAGUGAGGAAUAGUGGUAAAUGGGCGAGAGCCUGAACCAGCCAAGUAGCGUGCAGGAUGACGGCCCUAUGGGUUGUAAACUGCUUUUAUAAGGGAAUAAAGUGGGUAUCGUGAGACUUUUUGCAUGUACCUUAUGAAUAAGGAACGGCUAAUUCCGUG